AUUGAACGCUGGCGGUAUGCCUAACACAUGCAAGUCGAACGAGGUAGCGAUACCUAGUGGCGGACGGGUGAGGAAUACGUAGGGAUCUGCCCUUAAGCGGGGGAUAACCCGGGGAAACCCGGAUUAAUACCGCAUGAUCUCGCAAGAGCAAAAGAGGGGGACCGCAAGGCCUCUCGCUUUUGGAGGAACCUACGUCGGAUUAGCUAGUUGGUGAGGUAAUGGCUCACCAAGGCGACGAUCCGUAACUGGUCUGAGAGGAUGAUCAGUCACACCGGAACUGAGACACGGUCCGGACUCCUACGGGAGGCAGCAGUGGGGAAUAUUGGACAAUGGGCGAAAGCCUGAUCCAGCAAUGCCGCGUGAGUGAUGAAGGCCUUAGGGUGUAAAGCUCUUUUACCCGGGAUGAUAAUGACAGUACCGGGAGGAAUAAGACCCCGGCUAACUCCGUGCCAGCAGCCG
This 459-nucleotide ribosomal RNA is filed under the name uncultured bacterium. RNAcentral describes it as "bacterial SSU rRNA". It matches the Rfam family "Bacterial small subunit ribosomal RNA", at positions 30 to 517 of the family's 1533-position model. The record is from RNAcentral.